GAUGAAGAACGUAGCGAAAUGCGAUAAGUAAUGUGAAUUGCAGAAUUCAGUGAAUCAUCGAAUCUUUGAACGCACAUUGCGCCCGCCAGUAUUCUGGCGGGCAUGCCUGUCUGAGCGUCAUUUCAACCCUCAUGCCCCUAGGGCGUGGUGUUGGGGAUCGGCCAAAGCCCGCGAGGGACGGCCGGCCCCUAAAUCUAGUGGCGGACCCGUCGUGGCCUCCUCUGCGAAGUAGUGAUAUUCCGCAUCGGAGAGCGAUGAGCCCCUGCCGUUAAACCCCCAACUUUCCAAGGUUGACCUCAGAUCAGGUUGGAAUACCCGCUGAACUUAAGCAUAUCAAUAAGCGGAGGA
Molecule: unclassified non-coding RNA, 348 nt
Filed under: soil metagenome
Description: partial contains 5.8S ribosomal RNA, internal transcribed spacer 2, and large subunit ribosomal RNA
Rfam family: 5.8S ribosomal RNA (bases 1-120)
Source: RNAcentral